RNAcentral lists this ribosomal RNA (484 nucleotides) under uncultured bacterium. Its description in RNAcentral is "partial 16S ribosomal RNA". It matches the Rfam family "Bacterial small subunit ribosomal RNA", at positions 48 to 523 of the family's 1533-position model. The record is from RNAcentral.
CUAACACAUGCAAGUCGAGCGGCAGCGAGGUUAGUAGCAAUACUAAUUGUCGGCGAGCGGCGGACGGGUGAGGAACACGUAGGGAUCUGCCUUAGAGAGGGGGAUAACCAAGGGAAACUUUGGCUAAUACCGCAUAAACUCGGGAGAGAAAAGCUGCCUGCAAGGAUGGCGCUUUAAGACGAGCCUGCGUCCGAUUAGGUAGUUGGUAGGGUAAAGGCCUACCAAGGCAAUGAUCGGUAACUGGUCUGAGAGGACGACCAGUCACACUGGGACUGAGACACGGCCCAGACUCCUACGGGAGGCAGCAGUGGGGAAUCUUGGACAAUGGGGGCAACCCUGAUCCAGCGAUGCCGCGUGGGUGAAGAAGGCCUUCGGGUUGUAAAGCCCUUUAGGUUGGGAAGAAGUGCAUAAGUUUAAGAGAUGUAUGCAUUGACGGUACCGACAGAAUAAGCACCGGCAAACUCUGUGCCAGCAGCCGCCGCGG